Cryptotermes secundus is the source of this 1137-nucleotide long non-coding RNA. RefSeq lists it as uncharacterized. The transcript has 3 exons. NCBI's taxonomy places the organism in Eukaryota, Metazoa, Arthropoda, Insecta, Blattodea, Kalotermitidae. The record is from RefSeq and is a predicted model, not a curated record.
UCGCACGCGCAGCUUUCGCAAUUGAGAAAAAGCUGAAUCUUGGGAUUGAGAAAAGAGGCCAUUUCAGGCACUCCGUUUCUAGCAGUUGCCAGAAACGAACGAGAAAAAGCAAAGUGUGCCUGCGGAAGACCUUGGGAUGGCGCCAUUGUUCUUCCUGUGCUUCAUGUUUAGCGCGGACUUCACGGCGUAUAUAUGUGGCAGUAUAUUCAUAUACUAACAAUAAAUAUACUUACUCAGCAUCGCCCAGUAGCUGGUACUGAUCUGGUCCACGUAGACCUGAAAAUGUUGUGCGCAGAUUGUACUGUUGGUAGUUGCAAACACAGAAGAUCUGGUUUCUUGAAAGUUCUUAAUAUUUAAAUAAGUGGAGAGGACUGUGGCACCAGUCACAAUCCGGUUAUUGCCAAUGUUAGAGACAGGCUGGCAGAAAACAAACCCAGAAAUGCACAAAUGUGAAGUGGAGUGAUUCAACCUCAAGAAAUUAAAUGAAGAAUGUGGUGGAAAAUAUUGUCAUGUAAAGACGUCGAGCAGGUUUGCAGCUUUAUAAAACUUAGAAGAUGGUGUGGAUAUUAAUAGAGCCUGGGAAGCUAUUAGAGUGAGUAUCAAAAUUUUCAGUGAAAGAGGUUCAAGUUUAUCAAGAACUUGAGUAGCAUUAGCCAUUGUUCAAUGAGUUGUGUUCAGUAAUUUUAUACCAAAGGAAACAGGACGAAUUGUAUUGGAGCCUAAUGAAAUGGGGAUAAUCUGAACAUUAUAAAGCACAAAGCCAGCAGGCAUCUGGAAAGAAGAGGAAAUGUCUGAAAGAUAAAAAUGAGCUUGCAACAGUCAGUAAGCGCAAGAACAUUAGAGGCCUGUAUAGAGGAAUAAUCAAAUUUAAGAGGGGUUGCCAACCUGGAAGUAACUGCCUGAAGAUUCCCACAACUUUUUGAAUACGUAGAAGAAUUUCUUCUUCCACUUACUGAAUAUAUAUAGGAUCAGUGAUAUUAGGCAGAUAGAAAUACAUACUGCUGAGCCAUUAGUACCUGAUCCUAGUCCUUUUGAGGUUGAAAUAGUUACUGUGAAGUUGAAAAGAGAAGACCAAGGCAUAGGUGAGUGAACAAUAUUACAAUGGAUCUUAGAGAGAUAGGUUUUGAUAGUAUGGAU